This is a microRNA precursor of Nicotiana attenuata, 96 nucleotides long. It matches the Rfam family "MIR6152 microRNA precursor family". The record is from Rfam. Lineage: Eukaryota; Viridiplantae; Streptophyta; Magnoliopsida; Solanales; Solanaceae.
UGGACAGAUUAUCGUAUUCGACUGUAUUCACGGCGUGAAAUAUGGGAUUACACUGUUUUUAAACGGAAAGUGAAUCAAUUAACAUAAUAGACUCCU